AUGUCAUCCACACCUAGCAGAUGUGCCACUGCCUGCCAUGCCAGAUUUUUGACAUAAUACAGGGCUGCUGGACACAACAGUGCUCAGGAAAAGCCAGGGAGCGACUCGUGCCUUCAACGUGGUGCUUGGUUCCACUCGUGCUCUGCGAGAGAAAUGAAACCUGCGGGGGGGAGGGAAGCACGUCCGCGUCUCCCGGCCCCCGACCCUGCUUUUAUCGAUACAGAUAUACAAGGCAAACCAAAGGUUUCGGCUGCUAUUCAGUGCCUCCUCAUUUGUCCCAGAGCCGUAACAGUGGUGCCCUUUCUCUUCUGGCUGCUUUUCCCUGCUUCUGGAGCAGCAGUUAUGGGAGAAGCAGAUGGCUACUGAUUGGACUCUGCGUUUGCUCAGAAGAAAGUAGAGGGGAAGUUCGGGCACCGUGAGGGAUGAAGAAAGAGCCAAGGUGCCUGUGCUAAGAAAGCAGCCCCUCACUGCACCGGGUCCGUCUGCACCGCGCGCCUCCCGCUCCGCCGCCCGCACGGCCCGGCCCGUCAUGGAGCGGCGCUGAGAGCCCGAGGCAGCCAGCCCGGAGCCGCCUUUGUGCCACUGUCGGGGCGAGGAUUAUCCCCACCGUCCCUGGUGAGUACCGGCGGAGGGGCCCCGCCGGCCCCCGCCGCCCCCGAGCGGGAACAAUGCCGGGGAUGGCCGC
This 685-nucleotide long non-coding RNA is filed under the name Parus major (Great Tit). Its description in RNAcentral is "lncRNA (ENSPMJG00000000309.1)". The record is from RNAcentral. Lineage: Eukaryota; Metazoa; Chordata; Aves; Passeriformes; Paridae.